GAAAACGUUGUGAAAUCAUGUCCCCAAAACGCCACAGAGGUCUUGGAAUCCUCCACCAGACUGGGCUGUGGUGUAGACAAGUAUGGGAACGAUCAGUAUAUCUGUGUUUCUAACAGAAACAAAACAGGACUAGUAGAACUAUGUUACAACGGUGUCAUGGAAUUGAUACAAAGAGGUAACUGUUUGGAAACUGACGGAGAAAACCUUUAUUACGUCGAUUGUCUUGGAUUUUCAUCAGGUUGUCCUGAGGAAGAUUAUCCAAGCAAUACAAUAUACCAGUAUCCCGCUUGUCAAAGCAUCAAUACUGAACAAAAAUGCUAUCUCGCUGAAUUCUCAUGCCCGAACACGUAAGUAUUUUCUUUUCCUUUGAAUUAUCUGAUGUU
This is a long non-coding RNA of Saccostrea cuccullata (small rock oyster), 383 nucleotides long. RefSeq lists it as uncharacterized. The transcript is spliced from 3 exons. The record is from RefSeq and is a predicted model, not a curated record. Lineage: Eukaryota; Metazoa; Mollusca; Bivalvia; Ostreida; Ostreidae.